This 327-nucleotide ribosomal RNA is filed under the name uncultured fungus. RNAcentral's name for it is "SSU rRNA". It matches the Rfam family "Eukaryotic small subunit ribosomal RNA", at positions 39 to 370 of the family's 1831-position model. Lineage: Eukaryota; Fungi. The record is from RNAcentral.
AAAGAUUAAGCCAUGCAUGUCUAAGUAUAAGCAAUUAUACCGUGAAACUGCGAAUGGCUCAUUAAAUCAGUUAUCGUUUAUUUGAUAGUACCUUACUACUUGGAUAACCGUGGUAAUUCUAGAGCUAAUACAUGCUGAAAACCCCAACUUCGGAAGGGGUGUAUUUAUUAGAUAAAAAACCAACGCCCUUCGGGGCUUCUUGGUGAUUCAUGAUAACUUUACGGAUCGCAUGGCCUUGCGCCGGCGACGGUUCAUUCAAAUUUCUGCCCUAUCAACUUUCGAUGGUAAGGUAUUGGCUUACCAUGGUCUCAACGGGUAACGGGGAAU